CAGUAGCCGCGGUAAUACGUAGGGUGCAAGCGUUAAUCGGAAUUACUGGGCGUAAAGCGUGCGCAGGCGGUUAUAUAAGACAGAUGUGAAAUCCCCGGGCUCAACCUGGGAACUGCAUUUGUGACUGUAUAGCUAGAGUACGGCAGAGGGGGAUGGAAUUCCGCGUGUAGCAGUGAAAUGCGUAGAUAUGCGGAGGAACACCGAUGGCGAAAGCAAUCCCCUGGGCCUGUACUGACGCUCAUGCACGAAAGCGUGGGGAGCAAACAGGAUUAGAUACCCCCGUAGUCCCUGUCUCUUAUAC
This 301-nucleotide ribosomal RNA is filed under the name uncultured bacterium. RNAcentral describes it as "partial 16S ribosomal RNA". It matches the Rfam family "Bacterial small subunit ribosomal RNA", at positions 509 to 807 of the family's 1533-position model. The record is from RNAcentral.